AGAAAUGAAGGAAGCACUAUCAAGACAGCAUAUGCAGCAAGAUUAACUCCCCAGACUUGAGCAUGUAAAGCAAUGGGUUGCUACAAUCACAGGCUUUAUUCAGAAAAGCGCAAUGGGUACUAACAAAAUAGCGAAUUCAGAUUGUGGAUAUGAAUAUAGAAGUAAAGAACUAAGAAGAAAAAGAGAGGAGGAAACAAGCACGAGCAACUAACCAAAUGUAGGCAGAGACCCAUGUUUUCUUCUUCUUCUUCCUCCUCCACAUAGUUAUUAAAGGCGAAUCCAGUGUUAUCAAAGGCAAGCGAGGCGCCCAGGCGAGGUGAGGCGCCUCUCUGUCGCCUCGAC
This 342-nucleotide unclassified non-coding RNA is filed under the name Hevea brasiliensis (rubber tree). The record is from RNAcentral. Lineage: Eukaryota; Viridiplantae; Streptophyta; Magnoliopsida; Malpighiales; Euphorbiaceae.